GACGAACGCUGGCGGCGUGCUUAACACAUGCAAGUCGAACGGAAAGACCCUGCUUUUGUGGGGUGCUCGAGUGGCGAACGGGUGAGUAACACGUGAGUAACCUGCCCUUGACUUUGGGAUAACUUCAGGAAACUGGGGCUAAUACCGGAUAGGAGCUCCUGCUGCAUGGUGGGGGUUGGAAAGUUUCGGCGGUUGGGGAUGGACUCGCGGCUUAUCAGCUUGUUGGUGGGGUAGUGGCUUACCAAGGCUUUGACGGGUAGCCGGCCUGAGAGGGUGACCGGCCACAUUGGGACUGAGAUACGGCCCAGACUCCUACGGGAGGCAGCAGUGGGGAAUAUUGCACAAGGGGCGGAAGCCUGAUGCAGCAACGCCGCGUGCGGGAUGACGGCCUUCGGGUUGUAAACCGCUUUCGCCUGUGACGAAGCGUGAGUGACGGUAAUGGGUAAAGAAGCACCGGCUAACUACGU
Molecule: ribosomal RNA, 467 nt
Filed under: uncultured bacterium
Lineage: Bacteria
Description: partial 16S ribosomal RNA
Rfam family: Bacterial small subunit ribosomal RNA
Source: RNAcentral